Molecule: transfer RNA, 69 nt
Filed under: Sillago sp. 1 SS-2021
Lineage: Eukaryota; Metazoa; Chordata; Actinopteri; Sillaginidae
Description: tRNA-Asp
Rfam family: tRNA
About the family: Transfer RNA (tRNA) molecules are approximately 80 nucleotides in length. Their secondary structure includes four short double-helical elements and three loops (D, anti-codon, and T loops).
Source: RNAcentral
GAGGCCCUAGUAAAAUUAUUACGCUGCCUUGUCAAGGCAGAAUUGUGGGUUAAACCCCCGCGUGCCUCC